CCUACGGGUGGCAGCAGUGGGGGAUAUUGGUCAAUGGCCGCAAGCCUGAUCCAGCGACGCCGCGUGAGUGAAGAAGGAUCUCGGUAUGUAAAGCUCUAUUAGCAGGGAAGAAGAAAUGACGGUGCCUGACUAAGAAGCCCCGGCUAAAUACGUGCCAGCAGCCGAGGUAAUACGUAGGGGGCAGGUGUUAUUCGGAAUUACUGGGUGUUAAGGGGGAGUAGGGGGUGAUGUAAGGCCGGAGGGAAAGGCGGGGGACUAAACCCCGUACUGCGCUGGAACCUAUGUGGCUGGAGUGCAGGAGAGGUGUGCGGAAUGCGUAGUGUAGCGGUGAAAUGCGUAGAUAUUAGGAGGAACACCAGUGGCGAAGGCAGCACACUGGAGUGUAACUGACGUUGAGGCUCGAAAGCGUGGGGAGCAAACAGGAUUAGAUACCCGAGUAGUC
RNAcentral lists this ribosomal RNA (442 nucleotides) under uncultured bacterium. Its description in RNAcentral is "partial 16S ribosomal RNA". It matches the Rfam family "Bacterial small subunit ribosomal RNA", at positions 338 to 795 of the family's 1533-position model. The record is from RNAcentral.